Molecule: RNA transcript, 2012 nt
Organism: Medicago truncatula (barrel medic)
Lineage: Eukaryota; Viridiplantae; Streptophyta; Magnoliopsida; Fabales; Fabaceae
Gene name: probable terpene synthase 2
Exons: 7
Source: RefSeq, a predicted model, not a curated record
AUGUCUACUGUAGCUUACUCUGAUCAUGACGCCAAGCAAAGAAAUCUUGCAGAUUAUCACCCAAGCGUUUGGGGGGUUUCUUCCUUCAGUAUGCUUCAGAAACCAUGGAACUUGAUCAGAAUCUUGCAUCACAAAUUGAUACGUUGAAAGAUGAAGUGAGAAACAUGCUUGUCUCAAAGACUGAGAUGCCCUUGACAAAAGUCAAAUUGAUUGAUUCAAUAUGUCGUUUGGGUGUUGGUUAUCAUUUUGAAAAAGAGAUUGAUGAAAUUUUGCAACAUAUUCACAAAAGUUAUGUUGAAAAUGGAGAAAUAACGCUUGAAGACAACCUGUGCUCUCUUGCCAUGCUAUUUAGGGUGUUCAGGCAACAAGGACUUCACGUUUCACCAAAUGUGUUCAACAAAUUUAAAGACAAGCAAGGAAACUUUAAUGAAAAUCUUAGCACGGAUGUUGAGGGGAUGUUAAGCUUGUAUGAAGCAUCACAUAUGAUGGUUCAUGAAGAUGACAUUUUAGAAGAAGCAUUAAAUUUCACUUCAACUCACCUCGAGUCCAUUGCCUCUCAAUCGAGCCCUUCACUUGCUGCACAAAUCGAAUAUACCUUAAAGCAGGCUCUCCACAAAAACAUACCAAGGCUAGAGGCACGACACUACAUUUCUAUCUAUGAGAAAGAUCCUACCUGUGAUGAAGUUCUACUCACUUUCGCAAAAUUGGAUUUCAAUUUACUCCAAUCCCUACAUCAAAAAGAGUUUGGAAACAUUUCCAAAUGGUGGAAGGAGUUGGACUUCUCUACCAAACUACCUUAUGCAAGAGAUAGGAUCGCGGAAUGUAGCUUUUGGGUUUUGACUGCAUUUUUUGAACCCCAAUAUUCUCAAGCAAGAAAAAUGAUGAUUAAAGUAAUCACCCUACUUUCAAUCAUUGAUGAUACAUAUGAUGCAUAUGGAACAAUUGAUGAACUGGAACUUUUUACCAAGGCAGUUGAAAGGUGGGAUAUUAGCAGCUUGGACGAACUUCCAGACUACAUGAAACCUAUCUAUAGAUCAUUCUUAACAAUUUACGAAGAAAUAGAGAAAGAAAUGAGAAAAGAAGGAAGGAUAUAUACCCUUGACUACUACAAAAUUGAAUUCAAAAAGUCAGUGCAAGCAUUUAUGACAGAGGCGAGAUGGCUGAAUGAAAACCAUAUACCAACAACAGAAGAGUACAUGCGCAUAUCAAAAAAAUCAGGUGCUUACCCUUUGCUGAUAUUAACCUCUUACAUUGGUAUGGGUGACAUAGCCACAAAGGAGAUCUUCAAUUGGGUAUCAAAUGAGCCAAGAAUUGUUAACGCCGCUGCAACUCUUUGCAGGCUAAUGGAUGAAAUUGUUUCCAGCGAGUUUGAACAGAAAAGAGGACAUGUUUGCUCAUUGUUAGAUUGUUAUAUGAAGCAAUUUGAUAUGUCGAGAGAAGCUGCUAUUCAAGAAUGCAAAAAUAGAAUGACAAUUGUUUGGAAAGAUAUAAAUGAAGAAUGUCUUAGGCCAACCGAAGUUCCGAUGCCUUUUAUGACUCGUGUUCUUAAUCUUUCGCGUUUUAUGGAUGUUAUUUACAAAAACAAAGAUAACUACACGGAUUCUGACGGACUAAUGAAGACAUGUAUUAAAGAAGUGUUGGUUGAUCCUGUUCCAAUUUGAGCACCGAGGUUUUAGUGGAUGUUUGGAUUCACAUUAAGUUUGAAAAAUCCAAGUGGCACAUGGAUUUUCUUAAAGUUCAAAAGUGGAGUAAUUGCCAACAAGUAUAUGACACGCCUUGAUAUUAUGAAGCUCAAAAUAAUUCAAAUCAAUUAUUAUUUUUUUUUUUUAUGUUCUUUAUAUUUCUACUUUGAAUAAGCAUUCAAUUUUUGUAUUUCGUGUGUGGGAUUUCACUUUCAUGAAUAAAAACAAACUAGAUCGUACAUCCAUGCGUCGUGCGGGUGAGUUGUAUGGUAAUGUGUUAUCUAUACUAUAUAUCUAUACUAUAUAUAUAGAAAACUACCCCUUUCAGCA